GAUGAACGCUGGCGGCGUGCCUAAUACAUGCAAGUCGAGCGAACGGACGAGAAGCUUGCUUCUCUGAUGUUAGCGGCUGACGGGUGAGUAACACGUGGAUAACCUACCUAUAAGACUGGGAUAACUUCGGGAAACCGGAGCUACUACCGGAUAAUAUUUUGAACCGCAUGGUUCAAAAGUUAAAGACGGUCUUGCUGUCACUUAUAGAUGGAUCCGCGCUGCAUUAGCUAGUUGGUAAGGUAACGGCUUACCAAGGCAACGAUGCAUAGCCGACCUGAGAGGGUGAUCGGCCACACUGGAACUGAGACACGGUCCAGACUCCUACGGGAGGCAGCAGUAGGGAAUCUUCCGCAAUGGGCGAAAGCCUGACGGAGCAACGCCGCGUGAGUGAUGAAGGUCUUCGGAUCGUAAAACUCUGUUAUUAGGGAAGAACAGAUGUGUAAGUAACUGUGCACAUCUUGACGGUACCUAAUCAGAAAGCCACGGCUAACUACGUG
RNAcentral lists this ribosomal RNA (497 nucleotides) under uncultured bacterium. RNAcentral's name for it is "partial 16S ribosomal RNA". It matches the Rfam family "Bacterial small subunit ribosomal RNA", at positions 28 to 507 of the family's 1533-position model. The record is from RNAcentral.